Molecule: ribosomal RNA, 467 nt
Filed under: uncultured bacterium
Lineage: Bacteria
Description: partial 16S ribosomal RNA
Rfam family: Bacterial small subunit ribosomal RNA
Source: RNAcentral
GACGAACGCUGGCGGCGUGCUUAACACAUGCAAGUCGAACGGAAAGGCCCUGCUUUUGUGGGGUGCUCGAGUGGCGAACGGGUGAGUAACACGUGAGUAACCUGCCCUUGACUUUGGGAUAACUUCAGGAAACUGGGGCUAAUACCGGAUAGGAGCUCCUGCUGCAUGGUGGGGGUUGGAAAGUUUCGGCGGUUGGGGAUGGACUCGCGGCUUAUCAGCUUGUUGGUGGGGUAGUGGCUUACCAAGGCUUUGACGGGUAGCCGGCCUGAGAGGGUGACCGGGCACAUUGGGACUGAGAUACGGCCCAGACUCCUACGGGAGGCAGCAGUGGGGAAUAUUGCACAAUGGGCGGAAGCCUGAUGCAGCAACGCCGCGUGCGGGAUGACGGCCUUCGGGUUGUAAACCGCUUUCGCCUGUGACGAAGCGUGAGUGACGGUGAUGGGUAAAGAAGCACCGGCUAACUACGU